Vicugna pacos (alpaca) is the source of this 1843-nucleotide non-coding RNA. Lineage: Eukaryota; Metazoa; Chordata; Mammalia; Artiodactyla; Camelidae. The record is from RefSeq and is a predicted model, not a curated record.
CUUCCUGGGGACAAGGAAUGGCCACAGUGAGCCCAGGUCGGGCCCGCGGUGCUCGGUGACACUGCUGUCACUCGCCUCUGGCCCAUUUUCCCGUUUCUGAAGAAGGGCUGAGGACCCAGCAAUGCAGCUUCCGCAGAGAUUUUUACCAAAGGAGGCGACACUGUCUCACGGAGUGACGAGGAGAGUGCACGGAGGCAGAGGGAGGUCACCGCAGGGCAGAGGGGAACUGCUCCGUCUGGAGGUUCAGGACCUCAGGAAGGCCUGGGGGGAGGAGAUCCUCAGCCUCUGAGCCAAGAGACUAGAGAGACUCUCAAAGCACCGGCAGAAGCAAAGUGCAUUCUGGCCCCACGCCUCAGCGAAGGGCCUGCCUGGGGGUCACCUGUGGUGUGUGCUCGAUGGCCCAGAUGUGCUCAGUGUUCCAGGCCCUCCAGGGAGUGAGGCAGUGCAGAAGGGACCCCAGGCCCUGCCGCCCAGCCCCCACCACCGCAGGGGGCUGGGAAAAGGUGCCAGAUCUGGGAACUGAAACCACUGUUGACCAUCCCUCUUCAUCCUCUCCCAGCCUGACAACUCUCCUUUCCUGGCCCAAAAGUUAAGAGCUCCGAGCAGCUUUUGAUGGAUGCUGGUGGGAAAUUUUAUGGCGAAAUUUCAGCGGGUGGGGGCGCCACCUGCUUAUGAACACAAUGUCACCAAGGAGGGGCCUCCAGGAGGCAAUUCCCUCAUCCAUGCAUUCAGACAUGGGACUUGGUCUGAAACUUGCUCCCCGGGCUGUGACCAUUCGUCUUCCCCUUCUCGUCGAGGCUGACCCUAGUGUCCGGACACCCGGCACCCCCACAUCAGCUCACUGUGAGCCCAGAUGCCGGCCGUGUCUCUGCUGGGUUCCAACCACCCAGCCAGAGGCACCUACGAUCCAGCCUGGCCACCCCUCCAAACACACGCCGGUACUUGGAAGUAAGUCACACUGCCCACGGGGCUCGCACGGGGGACAGGUGACUGCAGAGCACCUGGGAAGGAGCCACGCAGCAGGGGAUGGGAGGGGCUGACAGAGCCCCACUGGGUGGUCUGGGGCCACGUGAGGAGCCUCGUGGUCCGGGCCCGGGCGCUCCAGCACCCGGCAGGGCAACACCGGGAUGUCCCGGCGGGUGGAGCUGGGCCACGGAGAGGAGGCUCGUUCCCGCAGCCAGCAGGAAGACAGGUGACACUAAGGCUCUACUCUGAGAACUGGGAGGAAAUGUCACAGCCGAGGAACAAGAGGAACCUUCCACCUGACCCCUGAGAAGAGCAGAACAGAUGUGGCCGUGGUCAUCAGUCCCGCAUCCAGCUGCCGAAGACGGCGCAGGGCAGAGCGGGCGGGCGCUAGCAGGGGCCGGCCCCAGAGCCGAGCCCGCUGGCGUGACGGGGAACCAGGUGAUUCGGGCAGCUCCCUUGAGAUAACGGAUCACCUCGUUCUGCAGAAGAGAGUGGGGACGGCACCAGGCACCAGACUCCGCGCGCUGGGGUUGCCGGCUUGGGCGGGGAGGCUCCGCACGGCCCCACCUGCUCCCAGGAGGCCCGGGGGUAGGGAUGGCGCCGUGAGGCCAGCUGGGGUCACACUGGCAGAGGGCCCUCUGCAUCCAGGGCCUCGCCCAGGCCCGGCACCCAGGGAGCUGAGCUAGGGAGCGAGGCGGGCCAAUCACAAAACAGCCCCAGCUGCCAUCAGACCCCCAGGCGGCACCUGGAAAGGGGCCGGCAGCACCAGCCACUGAGCCGGCCGGGCUGCCCGGGCUCCGUCCACCCAGCAAGGCUCUACAAGGCCUGCGGCACCCCGCGCGGCGCAGGCCACGCCGCUUCUGACUCACCGCCGUCC